This 74-nucleotide transfer RNA is filed under the name Arthrobacter sp. EpRS66. RNAcentral describes it as "tRNA-OTHER". It matches the Rfam family "tRNA". Rfam says of the family: Transfer RNA (tRNA) molecules are approximately 80 nucleotides in length. Their secondary structure includes four short double-helical elements and three loops (D, anti-codon, and T loops). Further hydrogen bonds mediate the characteristic L-shaped molecular structure. tRNAs have two regions of fundamental functional importance: the anti-codon, which is responsible for specific mRNA codon recognition, and the 3' end, to which the tRNAs corresponding amino acid is attached (by aminoacyl-tRNA synthetases). tRNAs cope with the degeneracy of the genetic code in two manners: having more than one tRNA (with a specific anti-codon) for a particular amino acid; and 'wobble' base-pairing, i.e. permitting non-standard base-pairing at the 3rd anti-codon position. The record is from RNAcentral. Lineage: Bacteria; Bacillati; Actinomycetota; Actinomycetes; Micrococcales; Micrococcaceae.
UCCGGCCUAGUUCAACGGUAGAACACCCGCCAAGACGCGGGAAGAUUGAGGUUCGAAUCCUCAAGCCGGAACGA